UACGUAGGGUGCAAGCGUUGUCCGGAAUUAUUGGGCGUAAAGAGCUCGUAGGCGGUUUGUCGCGUCUGCCGUGAAAGUCCGGGCUCAACUCCGGAUCUGCGGUGGGUACGGGCAGACUAGAGUGAUGUAGGGGAGACUGGAAUUCCUGGUGUAGCGGUGAAAUGCGCAGAUAUCAGGAGGAACACCGGUGGCGAAGGCGGUUCUCUGGGCCGAUACUGACGCUGAGGAGCGAAAGCGUGGGGAGCGAACAGG
RNAcentral lists this ribosomal RNA (252 nucleotides) under uncultured bacterium. RNAcentral describes it as "partial 16S ribosomal RNA". It matches the Rfam family "Bacterial small subunit ribosomal RNA", at positions 524 to 776 of the family's 1533-position model. The record is from RNAcentral.